CAGGGCUGCCACUGGAUCCCCGGUGAGCACAGGACCAAGGGGGAUCCAGGGCCUGGCACGCCCCCCCCCAAGCUGGGGCUCUUCCACAGGCGGGGCUGGGGGAGGAGAGGUGCCAGGACGGGAAGGUCUGACGGCGGGGAGAGCCGGCCACCAGGCAAACUCGGCUUCCUCUAGGCCGCUCCUACAUACCCGGCCUGUGCUCGGUCGCAGCACUCGCUGACAGGCGUACUACCAUCUCCAUUUCACAGGUUCUCACAGCCAGAGCUCUGCAGCCCCGGACCCAAGAAGGACCAGCUGCCGGCGCUGGGCUGAGCCCCCUCCACCUGGGACCCGGGAGCUCGGGCUGGGUGUGGCGGCGGCGCCAGCCUCCUCCUCUGAGGACAGGCAGGCUGGCUGAGACCUUGCUCACAGUCUGGCCCACGAGGAACUGCUCUCCAAAACCUUCGUAGAGGCCCCGACUCUGCUCACCAGUCUCCUGCUGAUUCACGCAAGAGAGGACAGAAAAGCAGGAAGAUUCCUAAGAAAAAUAGGUCAGCUGCCUCGGGCAGGCUGGGCUCACCCCCGUGGGCAGGGCCAGGCUACAAGCUGCCUCUGCGCCCGGCUCCCCAGGGACCCAGCCCCUUCUCCACUCAGGAGUCUGGGCUACUGGGCAGCCGAGGCCAGAGCCCACCUUACAAGACAGACCCGUCUUCUGCGUCCCCGGGGCUCUGCCCGUGUGUGUCCCCACUGAGGCUUUCUCUCGGGGAGUUCAGGCAUCCUUCAACCAGCCCCUGAGCUGAGCUUCUGGGCUGCCCAGACUCAGGUGUGGAGCAGGGGGCAGGGAAGCCAGGCGUCUGCUCCAAGUCUAGCCUUACUGCCGCCCACGGCCAUCAACACUCAGACGGGAGUGAUGCCCACCUCGUUCCUAGAGACUCUGUGUCGCCUGUCUGCUGCAUUCACGUGCACAUGCAAACACACAGCUGCACACACAGCGUGCACACACGCGCGUGUGCAGUCACCUCCAGCAGCUUCCACCAGUGACAGCUCUUUCCACAAUUCAGAUCCACUCUCACACAAGCUGCUUUACCCAUCCUCGGGCUCAGACAGGAAAGAGCUGCUCCCCGAGACCCGAGACCCGGGCCCAGCCUGAGGAGGCAUGGGACGUGCCGGGGGACAGGGAGCCUUUCAGAGAGAAGAGAGUUCGUCCCUCUCGGGCCUCACCCCCUCGCGCCCAGGUCCGCCCUCACUCCCUCAGCGCAGCAAGGCUGUGGCAGCCAGGCCCGAGGAAGGGAGAUCUGAGGGAGGAGAGCACAGGGCCAGCGGCCAGGACAGAGGGCAGCCAGAGCAAGGCUGGAGUUCAGCAUCUCCCGGCCAGGCAGCAUCUGCUCCUUGGGUAACCAGAUCCCAGCUUUCUGUCUCAGAGCCUCAAACCUGAAACCACCGGCCCUGGGACCCGGCAGCUCCAGGUCCAGCACACGCCGAUCUUGGGGCCAGCAGCUGAAAGCUGACUCUUCCCACACACCCCCUGCUCAGCUUCUCCUGAGCGCGGCCUGCCAGACACACCCCUGCCUCUAGCGUGUGUGCUGGGGACGCACACAUGCCACUUGGCACGUCCUGCUCAGCUGAGAGGCUGCCCGUGGUCUCGCAAGCAGCCUCCAGGCCUAGACCUCCUCCCUCCCACCUUCGCUGCCAAAGGGAGGGAGGAGGGUCAGGGCCAGGCCAAGAGCACAGGGCACUGGUCCAGCUACCAGCAGGAUCUGAGUCAGAACCCACUUUAUUUGGGGACACUAGUCAUGCAGGAUUUGUAGUCAACAAGAGGAGGCAGCCUUGGCGGUAAAGGCCCGGGUCCUCCCCCCAGGCUUGUUCAGCAAACGUCUGGGAUGCAGACUCCAUAGCCGUCUUCCAGGCUCUUCUGCACGCCCUCCCCAACCUCUCCACUGCCCCCCGGACGCACGUGACUCAAGCCCAUCCCUCCCUCAGUCCCAACCCUUUUUCCCCUCUGCUGGAGCAGCCCCUGCUCAGCCAAACCCUAAGACUGGCACCGCAAAGUCCCUCCCCUCAGGAAUCUCCCGGAAGUCAUCUCUGCCAGUCGGAGAACAGCUGAGCUCACACAGCAGCAUGUGAAUGCUGGCAGUGUGCGGGCAGCAGCCUCCCAGGCCCGUCUCCUGCCCCCGGAGGCUGUGCGUGAUGAGCUGCCUGCCUCCUGGGCUCGCCGCAUCCUUCCCACAAGGCUCUGGCCACUGACAAAACUCCAGUUUUACAGAUCUUUCGAAGGAUUUCCGAGCAGCCCUCCACGUCUCCCCGGACAAGGUCUGCCUGGGAAACCAAACUUGGUUCCCGACAGAGGCAGCAUCUGAACUUUACCCCAAGGCAUUCCCAGCUCCCAAUGCCCUGAAUGGCUCAAGGGAAAGACAUUGAGAGGGGGGCCUGGAAGCCCCAGACACUGAAACCAUCAUCAUCAUCAUUUACUUACUUACUACAGAACGCUAAUGUUCACAAAAACCCUACAAGCUCAGGCUAACCCCCUAUGAGGCAAGUGACAAUCAGAGAAGCGAAGCAACGUGUCCAAGGUCACAGGCCAGCAAGUAGCCAAGCCGGACUUGAGUCCAGGUCCUGUGACUAGACCUAGGUCCUUCACCACCACACGCAGAGCCCCUUUGGCUAAAAAGACCCCCAAGACCCACAGGGGUGGCGGGCAGGGGUUCAUGUCCAGCCACCCCAGACAGAAGAAGGCAAAAGCUUCAUAACCAACAGCCUUCAAUGCUGGGAAGUCCUUCCUUCUGUCUAGCCGCUUUGUGUG
Balaenoptera musculus (blue whale) is the source of this 2779-nucleotide long non-coding RNA. RefSeq lists it as uncharacterized. NCBI's taxonomy places the organism in Eukaryota, Metazoa, Chordata, Mammalia, Artiodactyla, Balaenopteridae. The record is from RefSeq and is a predicted model, not a curated record. The transcript has 3 exons.